RNAcentral lists this ribosomal RNA (424 nucleotides) under uncultured prokaryote. Its description in RNAcentral is "bacterial SSU rRNA". It matches the Rfam family "Bacterial small subunit ribosomal RNA", at positions 355 to 796 of the family's 1533-position model. The record is from RNAcentral.
UGGGGAAUCUUAGACAAUGGGGGAAACCCUGAUCUAGCCAUGCCGCGUGAACGAUGAAGGCCCUAGGGUUGUAAAGUUCUUUCAGCGGGGAAGAUAAUGACGGUACCCGCAGAAGAAGCCCCGGCUAACUCCGUGCCAGCAGCCGCGGUAAUACGGAGGGGGCUAGCGUUGUUCGGAAUUACUGGGCGUAAAGCGCACGUAGGCGGAUCAGUCAGUCAGGGGUGAAAUCCCGGGGCUCAACCCCGGAACUGCCUUUGAUACUGCUGGUCUGGAGUCCGAGAGAGGUGAGUGGAAUUCCGAGUGUAGAGGUGAAAUUCGUAGAUAUUCGGAGGAACACCAGUGGCGAAGGCGGCUCACUGGCUCGGUACUGACGCUGAGGUGCGAAAGCGUGGGGAGCAAACAGGAUUAGAUACCCCCGUAGUCC